AUAAGAGCCUUAAUGAUCACUACCCUACAUUGGGAAGAUUUUCAAAAGGGAAUGGAUUUUCAAUGGCCAUUUCGUUACUUUGGUUGUCAUGAGGUGUAAGAAUGAUACUUUGGCCGUCAUUUCUACAACCUAAACACUGAUCAUCCAUUGCAUCCUCAUUUGAGCUAAAAAUUGGUGGUUCUUUUCGAGUGCACAUAUGAUCGCACCCCACAUUGGGGAAGGAGAUUGGGGAAUUUUGAAAAAGGAAAAAAAGGGAAAGAGAACCGCAAGUUGGGAAAAUUUGAUUCCACUUGGGUUCCAAUUUUGAAAAAAAAAAAAGAAAAAGAAAAAGAAGAGAUUUGUCCGCACGGACCGCCUAUGUUUCACAAAUAUGGAUAAACAAGGGUCUUCCUCAGUCAGUAAUUCAGAUACAUGCAAAAAAAUUUCGCAUUAACGAAAGUUUCCUUUCAGAAUUAUUGUAAGGGACGGAACAAAGGUCAGGCCCUCUUCUUUUCCAAUCAAACAUUCUAUCCCUACUUAUCCCUUUUGAGCCAUCAGAAUAAAUUAUUUCGUUUGGUAACCCCUGAGAAUCGCAAACCCCACACUGGGGGCAAGUUUGAAUUGAAAAGAAAAAAGUUUCAAGAAGUGAAAAGUGACAAUGCAACAAAAUCAAAAGGAAAAGAGAAAAGAGAACCUCAGUUCAAAAAAUAAACUGGGGCAAAUUUUGUGAAAGUUCAAAAAAUGGCAAAAGGCCGAAAAAUCAAAAGAAAAUGAAAGAGAAAAAGCCUCAAUUGAGCACAAGCUCUGGCAAAUUCUGAUUUAGCCCUAAAAUAGGAUUGGCACAACAAUGCGAUCUCAGAUUACUUAAACCAUUCUUGAAAUCUGCCUUCAAGCCUUAACUUUUCCAAACACCCCACCAGAC
This 901-nucleotide long non-coding RNA is filed under the name Coffea arabica (coffee). RNAcentral's name for it is "long non-coding RNA (CARA_LNC005024)". The record is from RNAcentral. Lineage: Eukaryota; Viridiplantae; Streptophyta; Magnoliopsida; Gentianales; Rubiaceae.